AAACAGCUUGGAACAGCCACUAAUCCUAAGAGGUGGUGGUGGUAAUGGCUCAUGGAGCCAUCUCCUCUGCAGUAGUAUUGGCAUCAGAAGCCUGAGAGACCUCUGUUUUACUUUCUGUUUUGGUGGUGCUAAGGACUGAAGCCAGGGUCUCGGACAUGCUAAGUAAGUGUUUACCAACCCAUUAUGGGUCUUUAAUAUUGCAAAUAAUAUGGUUCUGAUUUUAUCACAAGCCCACCAGAUUAUAAAGAGAAUUAACAUGAUCAAUAUAUUAAUUUACUGAAAUAAAAAUUUGUUUAAUAGUG
This 302-nucleotide long non-coding RNA is filed under the name Mus musculus (house mouse). RNAcentral's name for it is "long non-coding RNA chr7:130398328-130398630". Lineage: Eukaryota; Metazoa; Chordata; Mammalia; Rodentia; Muridae. The record is from RNAcentral.